GACCCAAAAACAUUAAUUUUACAAGCAUGUCUCGGAGAACACUAUGCUACUCUGCAGCCAGCACCGCCCCCAUCAAGCGAGGCCACUCUUGUUCGGCUGCCACACACCAACCAGGGGUCAUCCAACAUUUAUAGCAGCAAAUCAACCCGUCCACGCCAAUGUUGUCAAAACGCAUGUCUUUGUUGUUGAAAAUGCUCCCAUAACCAAUAUCUGCCACAUGAUGAAAAGUAUGCUGCGUUAUAAAAUACUACAUCCAGUAGGUUAAACUACAAGUAGCUUACUUCACAUUAUCAAGUUCUACAUUUUUUUUCACUCCCAGAAUGCAAAGUAGUGCAACAAAUUUACAAAAGUGUGAAAAGAAACAACUGGUGGCAAAAAAAAGGAAUGAUGAGCAUGCAUAGAUCAAUAGAAUUGGUAGUAAACUCCGUUGCGCUUAUUUUACGUUUUCACUACAGUAAACUCGAUAAGAAAUGCAGCCCAGCUGAAUAUUGCGCAUUGAUGAGAAUUUCUGGGCACUUUUCUCAAAAUGUAAAAACGGAAUGUACAAAUUCCAUGAUGAUUAUGUCUUAAUGGAAUAUGUGUCCUAUCUGAUAUGAUAUUCUAUAGGAAAAGGAUCUGGCAUAUGUGGCUUACGAUAAAUCUAGCCGAAAAGACAUUUGUAAGACACCACUUCUAAUAAAGGAUCGGAUCAAGUAGAAUUCAGUUUUUGUAUGUAUUAUUACACACACAAAAAUAGUCCAACUAUAGAUACAAAAAAAAUAUUGUCUAGUAUCACACUUCAGUAUCUUAUGAACAUUACCUGCCCUUGCAUAUUUAGCUAAAAAACUAAAAAGUUAGUAUACCAAAUUCUGACUGUAUAGCAUUCAAUAUUCGUACUUGGUUUCCAAACCAUCAAAUGCUUGGUACACUCAUGAAUUAUCAUCAAUACAAACAGUUUUGAUCAUUAUAAAUUUAUAGUUCGCUUGCCUUAAAAAAACUUGCAAGAGCAACAGAAUGCAUUUCUAUCCCGAUGAGAUGAACCACAACCGAAUCAUGAAAAGGAAGAAUGAAGGGCAUGUGUUGCCCAAACCAAAAUACUGCUACCUCUUCUCUCUGCAUCCAGUUAAUCUAUUUUUCUCUGAAACUCUAAAGCUAGCAUCAUCUGUAUGUGUCUACAGUAAUUAUAGAAAACAUAAGUCAUAGGGAGCCACGGUCUACAAAUCCAGACAUACCGAUGAAGACUAAAGACAACACAAUAGGCCAUACGAUGCCCGGGCGAGGUUGAGCAUGGCGGCACGUUGCCAAAAGUAGCACCAUAAUUCUCUUGAGAUCUUUCGAUUUAGAUUCAGCAGGUAGAGGAACAACAUCUUUUGAUUUAUUCAGCACGUUCAGAAAUGUGCAACAUCUCUUGAUUCAAAUUUAAUAUGUUCAGAAGUACAAAACUUUUGGGACACAUAUAUGGUUGUUUGUGAAAUCUUAUGAAGGGUAAUCUUACCAAACUCAUACCUCAUGGCCGUGUGUGCAAACUGGAUGACUGCAUAGAUGGGAUUUUCUAUGCUGUAGGAGGCAAUGUAAGGAUUAAAAAUCUGGUCCAUUAUCAACCAAGACUCCAUGCUAUAACAUCUCUAGCACUAUACAAGACAGAGGAUGAUCAAUGAUGAACUCACUACUUUGGCCAGUAUACAAUCAAAAUAUGGAAAUUGAUUACUCUUUCAG
This 1695-nucleotide long non-coding RNA is filed under the name Triticum aestivum (bread wheat). RNAcentral's name for it is "long non-coding RNA (TAES_LNC000273)". Lineage: Eukaryota; Viridiplantae; Streptophyta; Magnoliopsida; Poales; Poaceae. The record is from RNAcentral.